This is a non-coding RNA of Phoenix dactylifera (date palm), 702 nucleotides long. The record is from RefSeq and is a predicted model, not a curated record. Lineage: Eukaryota; Viridiplantae; Streptophyta; Magnoliopsida; Arecales; Arecaceae.
GUGAUUACUUUGUCUGAAAGACUAGCAGGGCAAGAUGCAAAUGUAACCACUGUCCCUGUUUCAGUCUUGAAAUUCACUCGCCAGCUAACUCGGUUUUUCCAAUGGACGAAUGAUAUAGCUGAUCGUUUAGCAUUUUCAGAGACGAACCUACUUCUUGGGAAUAAGCCGAUCUUAUAUUUCCUUACAAGGUGAUGGAAUUUCCUUCUUUCUGUGCUAACGAAGAGGGCUUGGUUGCGACCAUUUCUUUUCAGUUGAUAUAUGUGUGGGUUAUCAUUGAGCUUGAUGCCUUGAAUCUCUCAAUUGGUGGGAUUUCAGGUCCUCUCAAGCGACACCGUUUUCUCUCCCAUGACAGAAACAUAUAAUUUGCUUGGGGUGGAUCAGAAAGACAUUGUGACCUUAGAAAAGUAUUUGCAGGACUACUUCACCAAUAUUUUGAAGAAACUGAAAGAUCUAAAAGCACAAUCAAAGCAAACAGAUAUUUAUCUAUGAGAAAUUCAAGUUCACACUACAACAAUGGGGUCAAAAGAGAGAACGGGUCAAAGCUACAUGUACUGCACUUCCAAGCCAUUCAAAAAGGACAUGAUGGUGCAAGUGAUUUGUUCUUUCUUUCUGCAUUUUGUAUGCAAAUUAAAAUUCUAAACAAAAAAUUAAGGUCUUCUGACAUAAAGCCUAACUUGUUUAUAAAUAUCAACUGUGUGUUUC